CACCUUUGACAUGUACGGAAUCCUUUAGAGAUAGAGGAGUGCUCGAAAGAGAGCCGUAACACAGGUGCUGCAUGGCUGUCGUCAGCUCGUGUCGUGAGAUGUUGGGUUAAGUCCCGCAACGAGCGCAACCCUUGUCAUUAGUUGCUACAUUUAGUUGGGCACUCUAAUGAGACUGCCGGUGACAAACCGGAGGAAGGUGGGGAUGACGUCAAGUCCUCAUGGCCCUUAUAGGUGGGGCUACACACGUCAUACAAUGGAUGGUACAAAGGGUCGCCAACCCGCGAGGGGGAGCCAAUCCCAUAAAGCCAUUCGUAGUCCGGAUCGUAGUCUGCAACUCGACUACGUGAAGUCGGAAUCGCUAGUAAUCGUGGAUCAGAAUGUCACGGUGAACACGUUCC
This 398-nucleotide ribosomal RNA is filed under the name uncultured bacterium. RNAcentral describes it as "bacterial SSU rRNA". It matches the Rfam family "Bacterial small subunit ribosomal RNA", at positions 976 to 1374 of the family's 1533-position model. The record is from RNAcentral.